GGCAACGACCAUACCACGUUGAAUAAUACCGGUUUUCGUCCGAUCACCGAGGUUAAGCAACGUCGGGCGCGGUUGGAUGGGCUGACCGCUUGGGAACACCGCGUGCCGUUGUCU
RNAcentral lists this ribosomal RNA (114 nucleotides) under Dendroctonus ponderosae (mountain pine beetle). The record is from RNAcentral. Lineage: Eukaryota; Metazoa; Arthropoda; Insecta; Coleoptera; Curculionidae.